This 492-nucleotide ribosomal RNA is filed under the name uncultured bacterium. Its description in RNAcentral is "partial 16S ribosomal RNA". It matches the Rfam family "Bacterial small subunit ribosomal RNA", at positions 29 to 507 of the family's 1533-position model. The record is from RNAcentral.
AGUGAACGCUGGCGGUAGGCCUAACACAUGCAAGUCGAACGGCAGCACAGUAAGAGCUUGCUCUUACGGGUGGCGAGUGGCGGACGGGUGAGGAAUACAUCGGAAUCUACUUUUUCGUGGGGGAUAACGUAGGGAAACUUACGCUAAUACCGCAUACGACCUACGGGUGAAAGCAGGGGAUCUUCGGACCUUGCGCGAUUGAAUGAGCCGAUGUCGGAUUAGCUAGUUGGCGGGGUAAAGGCCCACCAAGGCGACGAUCCGUAGCUGGUCUGAGAGGAUGAUCAGCCACACUGGAACUGAGACACGGUCCAGACUCCUACGGGAGGCAGCAGUGGGGAAUAUUGGACAAUGGGCGAAAGCCUGAUGCAGCCAUACCGCGUGGGUGAAGAAGGCCUUCGGGUUGUAAAGCCCUUUUGUUGGGAAAGAAAAGCAGCAGGUUAAUACCACGCUGCUCUGACGGUACCCAAAGAAUAAGCACCGGCUAACUUCGUG